Molecule: ribosomal RNA, 255 nt
Filed under: uncultured bacterium
Lineage: Bacteria
Description: partial 16S ribosomal RNA
Rfam family: Bacterial small subunit ribosomal RNA
Source: RNAcentral
GUGAGUAAUGCCUAGGAAUCUGCCUGGUAGUGGGGGAUAACGUUCGGAAACGGACGCUAAUACCGCAUACGUCCUACGGGAGAAAGCAGGGGACCUUCGGGCCUUGCGCUAUCAGAUGAGCCUAGGUCGGAUUAGCUAGUUGGUGAGGUAAUGGCUCACCAAGGCUACGAUCCGUAACUGGUCUGAGAGGAUGAUCAGUCACACUGGAACUGAGACACGGUCCAGACUCCUACGGGAGGCAGCAGUGGGGAAUAU